RNAcentral lists this non-coding RNA (74 nucleotides) under Wenxinia marina DSM 24838. RNAcentral describes it as "Singlet oxygen resistance RNA X". It matches the Rfam family "Singlet oxygen resistance RNA X". Rfam says of the family: SorX (RSs2461)like SorY is a singlet oxygen induced sRNA that counteracts oxidative stress by targeting mRNA for a transporter in Rhodobacter. Lineage: Bacteria; Pseudomonadati; Pseudomonadota; Alphaproteobacteria; Rhodobacterales; Roseobacteraceae. The record is from Rfam by way of RNAcentral.
AGCCCGCCGGUGACCGGGUCACGUCACCAUCCUCCCUGUUGGACUUGCCCGGGCCGUCGUGCCCGGGUUUUCUU